GUGAACGCUGGCGGUAGGCCUAACACAUGCCAGUCGAACGGCAGCACCGUAAGAGCUUGCUCUUACGGGUGGCGAGUGGCGGACGGGUGAGGAAUACAUCGGAAUCUACUUUUUCGUGGGGGAUAACGUAGGGAAACUUACGCUAAUACCGCAUACGCCCUACGGGUGAAAGCAGGGGAUCUUCGGACCUUGCGCGAUUGAAUGAGCCGAUGUCGGAUUAGCUAGUUGGCGGGGUAAAGGCCCACCAAGGCGACGAUCCGUAGCUGGUCUGAGGGGAUGCACAGCCACACGGGAACUGAGACACGGGCCAGACGCCUACGGGAGGCAGCAGUGGGGAAUAUUGGACAAGGGGCGCAAGCCUGAUCCAGCCAUACCGCGCGGGUGAAGAAGGCCUGCGGGUUGUAAAGCCCUUUUGUUGGGAAAGAAAAGCAGCAGGUUAAUACCCCGCUGUUCUGACGGUACCCAAAGAAUAAGCACCGGCUAACUUCGU
This 490-nucleotide ribosomal RNA is filed under the name uncultured bacterium. RNAcentral's name for it is "partial 16S ribosomal RNA". It matches the Rfam family "Bacterial small subunit ribosomal RNA", at positions 29 to 506 of the family's 1533-position model. The record is from RNAcentral.